CGGGACACGUGGUAUCCUGUCUGAAUAUGGGGGGACCAUCCUCCAAGGCUAAAUACUCCUGACUGACCGAUAGUGAACCAGUACCGUGAGGGAAAGGCGAAAAGAACCCCGGCGAGGGGAGUGAAAAAGAACCUGAAACCGUGUACGUACAAGCAGUGGGAGCACGCUUAGGCGUGUGACUGCGUACCUUUUGUAUAAUGGGUCAGCGACUUAUAUUCUGUAGCAAGGUUAACCGAAUAGGGGAGCCGAAGGGAAACCGAGUCUUAACUGGGCGUUAAGUUGCAGGGUAUAGACCCGAAACCCGGUGAUCUAGCCAUGGGCAGGUUGAAGGUUGGGUAACACUAACUGGAGGACCGAACCGACUAAUGUUGAAAAAUUAGCGGAUGACUUGUGGCUGGGGGUGAAAGGCCAAUCAAACCGGGAGAUAGCUGGUUCUCCCCGAAAGCUAUUUAGGUAGCGCCUCGUGAAUUCAUCUCCGGGGGUAGAGCACUGUUUCGGCAAGGGGGUCAUCCCGACUUACCAACCCGAUGCAAACUGCGAAUACCGGAGAAUGUUAUCACGGGAGACACACGGCGGGUGCUAACGUCCGUCGUGAAGAGGGAAACAACCCAGACCGCCAGCUAAGGUCCCAAAGUCAUGGUUAAGUGGGAAACGAUGUGGGAAGGCCCAGACAGCCAGGAUGUUGGCUUAGAAGCAGCCAUCAUUUAAAGAAAGCGUAAUAGCUCACUGGUCGAGUCGGCCUGCGCGGAAGAUGUAACGGGGCUAAACCAUGCACCGAAGCUGCGGCAGCGACGCUUAUGCGUUGUUGGGUAGGGGAGCGUUCUGUAAGCCUGUGAAGGUGUACUGUGAGGUAUGCUGGAGGUAUCAGAAGUGCGAAUGCUGACAUAAGUAACGAUAAAGCGGGUGAAAAGCCCGCUCGCCGGAAGACCAAGGGUUCCUGUCCAACGUUAAUCGGGGCAGGGUGAGUCGACCCCUAAGGCGAGGCCGAAAGGCGUAGUCGAUGGGAAACAGGUUAAUAUUCCUGUACUUGGUGUUACUGCGAAGGGGGGACGGAGAAGGCUAUGUUGGCCGGGCGACGGUUGUCCCGGUUUAAGCGUGUAGGCUGGUUUUCCAGGCAAAUCCGGAAAAUCAAGGCUGAGGCGUGAUGACGAGGCACUACGGUGCUGAAGCAACAAAUGCCCUGCUUCCAGGAAAAGCCUCUAAGCAUCAGGUAACAUCAAAUCGUACCCCAAACCGACACAGGUGGUCAGGUAGAGAAUACCAAGGCGCUUGAGAGAACUCGGGUGAAGGAACUAGGCAAAAUGGUGCCGUAACUUCGGGAGAAGGCACGCUGAUAUGUAGGUGAAGUCCCUCGCGGAUGGAGCUGAAAUCAGUCGAAGAUACCAGCUGGCUGCAACUGUUUAUUAAAAACACAGCACUGUGCAAACACGAAAGUGGACGUAUACGGUGUGACGCCUGCCCGGUGCCGGAAGGUUAAUUGAUGGGGUUAGCGCAAGCGAAGCUCUUGAUCGAAGCCCCGGUAAACGGCGGCCGUAACUAUAACGGUCCUAAGGUAGCGAAAUUCCUUGUCGGGUAAGUUCCGACCUGCACGAAUGGCGUAAUGAUGGCCAGGCUGUCUCCACCCGAGACUCAGUGAAAUUGAACUCGCUGUGAAGAUGCAGUGUACCCGCGGCAAGACGGAAAGACCCCGUGAACCUUUACUAUAGCUUGACACUGAACAUUGAGCCUUGAUGUGUAGGAUAGGUGGGAGGCUUUGAAGUGUGGACGCCAGUCUGCAUGGAGCCGACCUUGAAAUACCACCCUU
RNAcentral lists this ribosomal RNA (1804 nucleotides) under Escherichia coli. RNAcentral describes it as "partial 23S ribosomal RNA". It matches the Rfam family "Bacterial large subunit ribosomal RNA", at positions 418 to 2207 of the family's 2925-position model. The record is from RNAcentral. Lineage: Bacteria; Pseudomonadati; Pseudomonadota; Gammaproteobacteria; Enterobacterales; Enterobacteriaceae.